GUCAGGAUGGCCGAGCGGUCUAAGGCGUUGCGUUCAGGUCGCAGUCUCUGCUGGAGGCAUGAGUUUGAAUCCCAUUCCUGACA
This is a non-coding RNA of Danio aesculapii, 83 nucleotides long. NCBI's taxonomy places the organism in Eukaryota, Metazoa, Chordata, Actinopteri, Cypriniformes, Danionidae. The record is from the annotation of a RefSeq genome assembly.